This is a long non-coding RNA of Eubalaena glacialis (North Atlantic right whale), 1005 nucleotides long. RefSeq lists it as uncharacterized. Lineage: Eukaryota; Metazoa; Chordata; Mammalia; Artiodactyla; Balaenidae. The record is from RefSeq and is a predicted model, not a curated record. The transcript is spliced from 3 exons.
GGCAGCGCUGGAGGCCCCGGGCCGGUGACCACGAAGAGGGAGCCGGGGGCCGGACGGGAGCGCGGCGGCGGCGGCUGAGGCCCAGGCCAGGCCUCCUCCCCUCAGCCUCCCGCCCGCCUGCCCCGCCCCCGCCGGCGGCGCCCCGCCCCUCCCCCAACCGCCAGACUGGCCUGGUGCGGGGGCCGCGCGCAAAGACAUGGGGGAGAAGCUGAGGCUGGAGUCGCCCGUGGGGGCCGAGCCCGCCGUCUACCCGUGGCCGCUGCCAAUCUACGUUGUGACAGAAAUAAAGUUUACAGAAGUCGUGUUCCUGCGAUAAGAAAGAAAGAUGUGACCUUCCAGUUGUGUAAAGCUCUUAAAUGCUGUGUAAGUGCGUUGGGUGCGCUGAGGAACCUGGAGCUAAAUGGGCUAGUUCUGAGAGAGAGAGACUUAACUAUGUUAACAAAGCUGCCAAGCAGUAACGGCUGUAUUUGUACUGAAUCCCGGAAGUGUCUCUGUAUCCUGGAAGUAUUGCAAAGAUCGUCUUCACACCUGCAAAAUAUUCCUGCACCGUGUACGCAAAUGAUUAUGGCUCCGCUCUUGGGCCUCAUCUGGGAGCUACUGCAUGUGAGGAUCAAAUUGAUACACAUUAGGGCAUUCUCAGCGGUCUUUGGCAAAGGCCUAUAGAUUACUUCGCUAUCCAAUUUGUUAACUGGACAGCAGAGCCUGAGUGGAAAGAACAAUGCGCUCGUCAGUUGGGAAAAGCUCCUCCAGGUAUCAACAGAUACAAGCAAGGCAAUCUCACUGUGCAGGUUGAUUAGAAUCGGGUUUGUAUUUUGGACAAUAAACUCUACUAAUGAUAGUCUCCCAGUCAUUAAGUAUCUCUGCUGUAAGAGAAAACUGGGGCUAUUAACUUCUCCAGAUAGAACCCGAGGGAAAAGUGAUCAUUUCUUUUAUAAGCAGAAGGGAAGGUUCUGCUCAAUAAAGAUCAAUUAAACAUCUCUGUUAAAAGACUGCUUGGAGCUGGUG